Molecule: unclassified non-coding RNA, 498 nt
Filed under: uncultured Glomus
Lineage: Eukaryota; Fungi; Glomeromycota; Glomeromycetes; Glomerales; Glomeraceae
Description: SSU rRNA
Rfam family: Eukaryotic small subunit ribosomal RNA
Source: RNAcentral
CCAAUAGCGUAUAUUAAAGUUGUUGCAGUUAAAAAGCUCGUAGUUGAAUUUCGGGGUUAGUAAGUUGGUCGUGCCACUGGUAUGUACUGGCUUUACUGAUUCCCCCUUCUUGUAGAACCGUAAUGCCAUUAAGUUGGUGUUGCGGGGAAACAGGACUGUUACUUUGAAAAAAUUAGUGUUUAAAGCAAGCUAACGCUUGAAUACAUUAGCAUGGAAUAAUGAAAUAGGACGUUCGAUCCUAUUUUGUUGGUUUCUAGGAUUGACGUAAUGAUUAAUAGGGAUAGUUGGGGGCAUUAGUAUUCAAUUGUCAGAGGUGAAAUUCUUGGAUUUAUUGAAGACUAACUACUGCGAAAGCAUUUGCCAAGGAUGUUUUCAUUAAUCAAGAACGAAAGUUAGGGGAUCGAAGACGAUCAGAUACCGUCGUAGUCUUAACCAUAAACUAUGCCGACUAGGGAUCGGAUGAUGUUAAUUUUAUAAUGACUCAUUCGGCGCCUUACG